This 253-nucleotide ribosomal RNA is filed under the name uncultured bacterium. RNAcentral's name for it is "partial 16S ribosomal RNA". It matches the Rfam family "Bacterial small subunit ribosomal RNA", at positions 524 to 776 of the family's 1533-position model. The record is from RNAcentral.
UACGAAGGGGGCUAGCGUUGCUCGGAAUUACUGGGCGUAAAGGGUGCGUAGGCGGGUCUUUAAGUCAGAGGUAAAAUCCUGGAGCUCAACUCCAGAACUGCCUUUGAUACUGAGGAUCUUGAGUUCGGGAGAGGUGAGUGGAACUGCGAGUGUAGAGGUGAAAUUCGUAGAUAUUCGCAAGAACACCAGUGGCGAAGGCGGCUCACUGGCCCGAUACUGACGCUGAGGCACGAAAGCGUGGGGAGCAAACAGG